This 253-nucleotide ribosomal RNA is filed under the name uncultured bacterium. Its description in RNAcentral is "partial 16S ribosomal RNA". It matches the Rfam family "Bacterial small subunit ribosomal RNA", at positions 524 to 776 of the family's 1533-position model. The record is from RNAcentral.
UACGUAGGGGGCAAGCGUUGUCCGGAUUUAUUGGGCGUAAAGAGCGUGUAGGCGGCUAGGUAGGUCCGUUGUGAAAACUCGAGGCUCAACCUCGAGACGUCGAUGGAAACCAUCUGGCUAGAGUCCGGAAGAGGAGAGUGGAAUUCCUGGUGUAGCGGUGAAAUGCGCAGAUAUCAGGAGGAACACCGGUGGCGAAGGCGGUUCUCUGGGCCUGUACUGACGCUGAGGAGCGAAAGCGUGGGGAGCGAACAGG